Molecule: ribosomal RNA, 337 nt
Filed under: uncultured bacterium
Lineage: Bacteria
Description: bacterial SSU rRNA
Rfam family: Bacterial small subunit ribosomal RNA
Source: RNAcentral
GCGCACGGGUGAGUAACGCGUGGGAACCUGCCUUUCUCUGCGGGACAACGGUUGGAAACGACCGCUAAUACCGCAUACGCCCUACGGGGGAAAGGUCAGCCGGAGAAAGAGGGGCCCGCGUUAGAUUAGCUAGUUGGUGGGGUAAUGGCCUACCAAGGCGACGAUCUAUAGCUGGUCUGAGAGGAUGAUCAGCCACACUGGGACUGAGACACGGCCCAGACUCCUACGGGAGGCAGCAGUGGGGAAUAUUGGACAAUGGGGGCAACCCUGAUCCAGCAAUGCCGCGUGUGUGAUGAAGGCCCUAGGGUUGUAAAGCACUUUCACUGGUGAAGAUGAU